AAAGAAAAGCAGUCGGUUAAUACCCGAUUGUUCUGACGGUACCCAAAGAAUAAGCACCGGCUAACUUCGUGCCAGCAGCCGCGGUAAUACGAAGGGUGCAAGCGUUACUCGGAAUUACUGGGCGUAAAGCGUGCGUAGGUGGUGGUUUAAGUCUGUUGUGAAAGCCCUGGGCUCAACCUGGGAAUUGCAGUGGAUACUGGGUCACUAGAGUGUGGUAGAGGGUAGCGGAAUUCCCGGUGUAGCAGUGAAAUGCGUAGAGAUCGGGAGGAACAUCCGUGGCGAAGGCGGCUACCUGGACCAACACUGACACUGAGGCACGAAAGCGUGGGGAGCAAACAGGAUUAGAUACCCUGGUAGUCCACGCCCUAAACGAUGCGAACUGGAUGUUGGGUGCAAUUUGGCACGCAGUAUCGAAGCUAACGCGUUAAGUUCGCCGCCUGGGGAGUACGGUCGCAAGACUGAAACUCAAAGGAAUUGACGGGGGCCCGCACAAGCGGUGGAGUAUGUGGUUUAAUUC
RNAcentral lists this ribosomal RNA (517 nucleotides) under Xanthomonas sp. Its description in RNAcentral is "bacterial SSU rRNA". It matches the Rfam family "Bacterial small subunit ribosomal RNA", at positions 444 to 952 of the family's 1533-position model. The record is from RNAcentral. Lineage: Bacteria; Pseudomonadati; Pseudomonadota; Gammaproteobacteria; Lysobacterales; Lysobacteraceae.